CGGUGAUGUCUCCUAGCCGUUAUCUAAGGAGGCACUCGGUCAUGCUGUGGGUUAUAAAAAGACCUUAGACGCUCUGGUCGUCGAGAGUAUGAUGUGAGGAGGGGUUAAAUGCCCU
Molecule: regulatory RNA element, 115 nt
Rfam family: epsC RNA
Source: Rfam